RNA transcript from Cylas formicarius (sweet potato weevil), 2725 nucleotides. RefSeq lists it as uncharacterized. The transcript is spliced from 5 exons. The record is from RefSeq and is a predicted model, not a curated record. Lineage: Eukaryota; Metazoa; Arthropoda; Insecta; Coleoptera; Brentidae.
CAAUGUCUGUGACAAAACUUUAUAGUGUUACUGUUACUCUGUGGCCAGGUCAAAACCAUUUGAAUGAGGUUAUCCGUUUAUUGUUGUCACCCAUUAAAAAAUAGACAACCGACAACGAAUUAGCCGGUCUUGCUUAAAACAAAAUUAGACCACAUGGAAGAUACCGUUAGCGAGACAACAAUGUCCAAAACCACUUCGGGGGAAGCUAAUAAACAACCCGUCGAAAAACCGAGCAGGAGCGUGAUCGCCAAAAAUUCCGGCUUAAAGAAGUGCUUCUCUGCUCUCGUGGACCGAAAACAGGUGAAUUUGGAUUUGGAAGUGCUAAAUUUAAUGUUGAAACGCGAACUGCAGAUUCCGCUGAAUAAACUGGACCCGGAAUUGGCUACCAUUUUACCGUACAUGGUCGUCCAUUAUGUGAAAUCGUGGCCAGGCUGGCAAAGAAGUGUCGAAUAUUAUUCUGGCAAGACUUCGUUCAAAGCUUGGUAUGAGAAAUUUUACAAAUACAUUACGUUAAAGUUAAGCCAAGUCGUCGAGUUGCAUUAUGGCCAAGCGCAAGCCGAAAUUCGAAAAAAAAGAUUCGAGCUCUACGCGGAAAAGAUAGCGACCAAAAAAAUCUGUAAUAGGAAUAGCCAAACGGAUAGUUUAGCACCUAAAGGGUUCGCGCCGUUUACAAUUGAGGUUACGGGCAAACCGCUAUUAUUGAACACAAUUGUGUUUACGGACACCAGUGAAGGCGAUAUAUUAUUGAAACAACACUCUGUGUUGGACUGGGAUCAAAAUAUUGCCGAAAACAUAACUGUUAGGCAGAUAAUUACGUGGCCAAACGUUGGUGUGCAUCUUUCGAGUCCCGUGUUUAGUUUCUCUAGGAAAAACUUGCAUGAAAUUGCCAGACACAUCAGUGUGGUGGGCACCGCAUUGCCAAACCUUCACCCUAAACUUAUCGAGGAGAUUGGGAUCAUAGAUCAAGCUGAAGAGCGGCAGGUGUAUACCUUGGACUACCUCAGACGAAUGCUUACAGAUUUAUUGGCUGCAUUUAGUUGCGUCAUAAAAUCUAAGCCCGUUAUCGAUGCUUUUCAAGUGAUCUUUGAUGAGUUUCUUGCGGACAUAGAAGAGAUAAAUGUCCUAGUAAAUGAAAAGGUGACAAUGGCUUCCAAUACAUUUGUGUUGUUCAAUAUUGGAGGUCACCUAUACUUUAGGAACAAAAAACUUUCAAAAGGGGCACCUUCUAGAUACGACAUCGGGUUUACGGAAAUGAUAAUACCGAAAAUGCAAACGGCUCUAGUUUCGUUAUCGGCGCCGGAUAAAUUUCGAGCCUAUAUUGAUGAACUUAAAGGGCUUGCUGCUUGUAAAGAAAAUGUGCAACCGAAUAUAACGUUCACUUGCGAGUACUGUUCGGAACGUUACGAAAGUAUCAAAACGUUAGCUUGCCACUUGAAAGACCUCCACAAGAUGGAACAGCCGAUGCUAUGCGUGUCGUGCAAAAAGUCGUUUUCCGCCUUUAAUCUGUCCAAAACGCGAUGGAGUCACGCGUGCCCCAAAAAGUGAUCCUUUUUCAUUCGCGAUCUCUUUUUUUUUUACGGUACAGCAGUCUCCGUAAGUAUGGAGCCUCAAGUGGGCCCCGAGUUUUGCUUUGCCUGCCAGUUUUUUUUUUCCGGAAGUUUUCUUUGUGCCUGCAAUGUAGGUGUACCCGGUGGUCAGUUCAGAAGGGCACUCGGCCAUUGUUCGAAAAGUACUUGGGCUGAAAAAACUAAUGAACUAAUACCAUCCUUUUUUGAUAAAAUAGCCCAGUACGUCUCAAAUACGCCAGUGAAGAUCCCAUUUUGAUGUCUCUUAUAACAUUAGUAAAAGAAAUAAAACAAAAUAAUAUCAAUAUCCUUGGCAAUAGGUUCUGGAUACCUUAAUUAAGUACACUUCACUUUUAAAAUGCCAACAUUAUAUUUAAUUAACACUCAUUCCCAUAUGAUUGAACAAUAACACUGACAAAACACCAAGAUCUUUGAUUUUUAAUGCAAAUCACUUUUUCACAAAUAAGGCCCUUAAAAUAGACUACCUAUAGAUCUAACCUUAACAUGAUUGGCACUUUAACAAAGUCAUUAUAAUUUUUGCUGUUUUGUUUUCCAAAGUCCACUUGGAUUUCAAAAAUUUCGAUUUUUUUUGAUGAAUGGGACUGAGUAUUUUUGUAUUUUAACAGUAAAUUUAUAUAUAUAUAUUACUUAAGAAAUGAAAAUUACACUGAUAAUAUUUCACAAGAUGCAACAUUUAUUUAUUUGCACUAGCGUGUCAAACUCAUAUUUGGCCAUCUUUUGCGACAAUAAAAGUGAUAACCUUUAAGUUUGUUAUGAUGUUACGAAACGACCUCUAGCGGAGAAAUAAGAUUCUAAAUCGGUUUGACAGAAUUUAAAAAUUAUUUCCGCUAUCUUCUGUUUACAAUUAUUGUUCGAUAUUGGGCCAAGUGUCCUUCUCUACCCGCCACCCUGUUACAUGCGUUCUUUUUCGGUGUGCCAUUUUGCGAUUAAGUGAUUAUUUUCAAAGUAUCUUGUAUUAUUUUCAGCUGUCGUAUUUGUACAUAACGCGUAUGUGGGUGUAACGAAGGGCGGCAUCUAGGGAUGACGUGGGCUAUACCGAACUGGUAAUCCCCAGGAUGGAGACGUCCUUAAUUCAUUUCGCGUCCUCGAGCAAGUUCAAAAAUUACUUCAACCAGCUGAGAAAUUUCGAUCCUUCCAGC